This 253-nucleotide ribosomal RNA is filed under the name uncultured bacterium. Its description in RNAcentral is "partial 16S ribosomal RNA". It matches the Rfam family "Bacterial small subunit ribosomal RNA", at positions 524 to 776 of the family's 1533-position model. The record is from RNAcentral.
UACGUAGGGUGCGAGCGUUAAUCGGAAUUACUGGGCGUAAAGCGUGCGCAGGCGGUUCGUCGUGUCCGAUGUGAAAGCCCCGGGCUCAACCUGGGAAUGGCAUUGGAAACUGGCGGACUCGAGUGUGGCAGAGGGAGGUGGAAUUCCGCGUGUAGCAGUGAAAUGCGUAGAGAUGCGGAGGAACACCGAUGGCGAAGGCAGCCCCCUGGGCUAACACUGACGCUCAGGCACGAAAGCGUGGGGAGCAAACAGG